This 490-nucleotide ribosomal RNA is filed under the name uncultured bacterium. Its description in RNAcentral is "partial 16S ribosomal RNA". It matches the Rfam family "Bacterial small subunit ribosomal RNA", at positions 28 to 507 of the family's 1533-position model. The record is from RNAcentral.
GAUGAACGCUAGCUACAGGCUUAACACAUGCAAGUCGCAGGGUAACAUGAGGAAAGCUUGCUUUCCUUGAUGACGACUGGCGCACGGGUGAGUAACGCGUAUCCAACCUUCCCAUAACUACGGGAUAACCCGUUGAAAGACGGCCUAAUACCGUAUGAUAUCGUUUGCUGACAUCAAAUAACGAUUAAAGGUUUAGCGGUUAUGGAUGGGGAUGCGUCUGAUUAGCUUGUUGGCGGGGUAACGGCCCACCAAGGCGACGAUCAGUAGGGGUUCUGAGAGGAAGGUCCCCCACAUUGGAACUGAGACACGGUCCAAACUCCUACGGGAGGCAGCAGUGAGGAAUAGUGGUCAAUGGGCGAGAGCCUGAACCAGCCAAGUAGCGUGCAGGAUGACGGCCCUAUGGGUUGUAAACUGCUUUUAUGUGGGGAUAAAGUGCGUGACGUGUCAUGCAUUGCAGGUACCACAUGAAUAAGGACCGGCUAAUUCCGUG